CUCCCUUCUCCCUCCUUCCCUAGGCCAUCACCCUCUUUCUUUUCCUUUCUUUUCCUUCCUUUUCCUUUCUUUUCCUUCCUUUUCCUUCCUUUUCCUUCCUUUUCCUUUCUUCCCUUUAUUUUUUCCCUUUCUUUUUCUCUUUCUUUUCUUUCCUUUCCCUCUUUUCUCUCUUUCCUCCCCCUCCCACUCCCCCCACCCCGCCUCUUAGCUCCCCCCUCCCGCAGCGGCCAUGGCGGAGCGGAGAGCGGUGCCGGCACCGGGCCGCUGCCGGGGGCGGCGGACCAGCGCCCGGCGGAGCCCGCAGGGCACUUGUCAAAAGGCGGAUGGCUCGGUCGUCAGGACACCAAGCUCUGCUUCAGGAGACUGAGGUUUCAUUCUCUGUUCUGCUCAACACGUUCUUUGGGAUAAACCUAACUUCUCUGCCUACAAAAUGCAGGAAACAGUAUUUGUCUCCUUAGAGAGUUACCAGGAGCAGAAAUGCACCAGACAGUGUUGGACCCCACAUGCCCUGGAAGGCGCUGAAUUCUACUUGCUUUUGUAAUGAGUUCCCUCCACAGCCCAUCACGGGUUUACAGUAUAUCUCAUUCCUGUAGAUGAUCACCACUUGAAAUAUUACAGCAUGUGUCAGGCCAAAACUUGCUUUCCCGGCUUGGUGUUUUAUUGCUUUUUUGAGCAGACUCUACCCCCUCUCAUUAAUCAGAAAUGUCUUAGUCAUCCGCAGCGUGCUGACCACAACGAAAAACCCGGCUGCGGGAAGGCUCCAGGGCUGGCACCGGCUCAGACGAUAAACUUUGUCUGCCUGUAAGCGCACAGGGGCACAAAUCAAUGACCGGUAAGUUCAGGGAGGGGGUGAAACAGGCACAAAAUUGAAGUCAAGGCAACAGAGUGUUUCUCUCUCCCUUCUGCAGCCCGGCUUGCAUCGGACCAUCUGCAUCCUCUUUUCCACCAGGUGCUGAGCACCACCUGGAGUUUUCCUUUCUUUAAACUUUGUGGCUUUUUUCAGCAGACAAGAUUUGCCCUGGCUGUACUGCUGGGGCCUCAUCUUUCACUAAAUAAUUGAUAACCAGAGGGUCUGCGAAAGCCGUUCUUCCCACUUCUGACUCUUGGGUCCCCCCUGCCCAGCGCUGCUGAGGCAGUGCCUUGAUGCGAUGCGCUCCCUGGCCCUUUGGGAGGUGAAUAAGACUACUCACAUUGUAACAACAGCUGUGCAGAAGCAAGAGGUCAGUGCUUUUAGCCAUUGCUAACAGCCUCCGGGCACUGGAACGGCCAAGGGGUGGGGAAAACCCAAUUCUGCAAACUUUUUGAUUGACUACACGGUUUUGUGUGCAAAUCUCAGCGCUAUUCACUGACAAUAUUGAUCUUGAUGUCUGGAGCAGAUGGGCACAGCAGAGGCAGAGCCCAACGGGAGCCCUGGGCUCCGCAGGGACCCCCCAGAGCCCGGUGAGGCAAUGUCUGCCUGGGGCUGUGUCACGUCACCGUGCCCUGCGAUGGGAGACGCGGCCGAAAUGCCACCAAGGACACUGCAGAAAGAGCCGAGGCAUCCGCCAGGGAACGCAGGAGCUGGGGAGAGAGCGGGUGUUUCCUUUUUAAUGUGCUGUUACUUGGUGGCGGAGCAGAUUUUUCCUUUUAAAGGGACAAACCCGAGCAAAUAAAUAAAUAAAUGCACCUUUCCUUUUCUCUAAGAUUAAAUGCUUUCGUGUAAUUGUGCAUUAACCUUUGGUCCUGCAUUAGGCGGCUGCUGCUUUGCACCCUUGAUGCUUUUAAGGGAGGAUUGCAAUUAGCCAAAGUGGCUCUUGACAGUCUUCCAGGCAAGCCCGUGCUGGGGGCCGCGUUCCCGAGGGGAGAUGGAUCACCGCUCUCACGGCUCACCAGAGGCGCCUGGCCUGGAGGAGGCUGGAAAAGGAGGCACCUUUGCUGCAGGCUGGGGCUAAAUGGAGGCUUUUUAGUGCAGGGGGGGCUCAAGGUGGCUUUCAGGCUGAAAAGCUUCCUGCUCAGAUGCGUUUCUUUGCUGAACUCCCACUCCCACAAAUUAGAUUACGAGAGUGCAAGGACCCUCCCCUGGGUCCUGAUGUACAGCAGGGAUAUUUAUAGGAAAAGCUUUUUAAUAGCCUGAGUUGAAAAAUCUGGUUUAGAACAAGCCUAUCCCCAGAUAAUUAAAUAACCCAGCUACGACUAAGAAUAUUGAUCAGGCACUCGAGCCUCCCCCACCCUCACUUCCACGGGAGGCAGAAACCAUGUGCCUGAAGCAGCUGAAUUUGGGAAUUCCCACCGAUUCCCAUGGCAGGACGAGGUCCGGGGGCUGCCCUGGGGAAUGGGGAGCAGGUCCCUCCUUUGCUGUGUGGGGAUGUUGGAUGGACCAUGGCUGUGGGGGGAUGGCGUGACCUGCAAACACAGCUACCCGCUCCCAUCCCUCAUGGCCCCAAGGAUAUUCACAGAAUCCCAGAGUGGCCGGGGUGGGAAGGGACCUCUGGAGAUCCCCUCAUCCAACCCCCGGCCAGAGCAGGGUCACCCCGAGCAGGUGGCACAGGGACGCCUCCAGGCGGGGUUGGGAUGUCUCCAGAGACGGAGACUCCCCCACCUCUCUGGGCAGCCUGUGCCAGGGCUCUGCCACCCUCACAGCACAGAAGUUCCUCCUCGUCUUGAGAUGGAACUUCCCACGGUCACGUUUGUGCCCGUUACCCCUUGUCCUGUCCCCGGGCACCACUGAGAAGAGCCUGGCCCCGUCCUCCUGACACCCCCUCUUGAAGUAUUGAUCAGCGUUGAUAAGAUCCCCCCUCAGUCGGCUUUUUUCCAGGCUGAAGAGCCCCAAAUCCCUCAGCCUUUCCCCCUCAGAGAGAUGUUCCAGUCCCCUCAUCCUCUUGGUGGCCCCUUGCUGUCCCCUCUCACAGGAGAGGUUUUCCUGCCAUUCCCAAGCCCCACAGCGGAUACAACACUGCACCCAGGGCCAUGUACUGCGGCUGGUUUCAUCCACUGACUUUUAAAAUAGUUUUGUUUGACUUAAAUCUCACAUUUCCUGCUAAAAAUAUAUUUUUGAAAACAAUCAUAUAGGGAUUUUUAUGGGACGUUUUCUUCUCAGACAUCAUCGCUGUGUUUGCUAGUUAUGCUGGAAAGCUGCUUACUCCCAGAAACCUCAGCUUCCCUGAAAGCCUGAAAGUAGAUAAAAAUAAGUGAAUAAAACAUUCAGGGUGCAAAGUUCCAAAUUUUCUGUUCCAAAUAUGUUUUCUUUUUUAUUAUAAUAAACACUGUUCAAAAUAAAACA
Molecule: long non-coding RNA, 3259 nt
Organism: Chroicocephalus ridibundus (black-headed gull)
Lineage: Eukaryota; Metazoa; Chordata; Aves; Charadriiformes; Laridae
Exons: 3
Source: RefSeq, a predicted model, not a curated record